Molecule: long non-coding RNA, 799 nt
Organism: Prosopis cineraria
Lineage: Eukaryota; Viridiplantae; Streptophyta; Magnoliopsida; Fabales; Fabaceae
Exons: 2
Source: RefSeq, a predicted model, not a curated record
GCCUAGACUGAACAAGGGCUUGGCGGGGGCGAUGGUUUUGCGUGCAGCAUUUGUUGCUGGCGACUGAGAGAGUUGUCCGAGAAGAGGGAAUCGUUGCCGUCGGUGACAGUACAAUUGCCUUUAUGUCAAUCUGUUUUGCUUCUUCAUGAUAGUUCAGUAAACUUAUCUGCCUCUCCCGUCCAGGACCCAACGCCGCCUGCCGGUGGAAAGGAGGCUCGCUUCCAUUUCCUGUGCUAAAAUUUUGCCCAACCAAACGGGUCCUAACUCUGUGAGCUGUUCUCCUUGGAGGUGCUUUCGAAUGAUUUCAUCUAAAGAAAAUGCAUUUUGGGGAUGGAUUUUUAUAUCACUUGGCUCUAUAUUCUUUGUUGGGUACUUCUUUGCUGCAAUUAUUUCCAAGCUUCUCCCACCUUCAAAUAUAGCGAUAGUAUCUGCCAUGCAAAAUGACUGGUAUUACUGCUUCUUGGUGCCGUUGACUCUGCCUAUGGUUGUGGUUGCUGUAUACUUUCAUUGGCUCAGCAUGAAGAUGUUCAAGCAUGCUUAACGUCUAAUUAUUUAUCCGAUCAUUAUUUGGAGUGGAGGCACGCAGGAUUUCUUUCUGCUUCAAAACUGACAUUUAAUUUGGUCCCUAUAAAUAUAAUUAACACUUGUUCCCUAAUCAUGUCCUAUGUUUCAAAAGCCUAUAAAUUUAUCCUCAUGGUUAUCUUUCUUUUUCUUUUCCUUUUUCUUUUUUUUUUUUCUUGUGUGGCGCCAAUCCUUAUUGUAUAUGAAAUAGUAAUAAUUAUCUGAAGAUUGAACAUCA